UAGUAACGGCGAGCGAAGCGGGAAGAGCUCAAAUUUGAAAGCUGGCACCUUCGGUGUCCGCGUUGUAAUCUCGAGACGUGUUUUCCGUGUGGCGCUAUGGACAAGUCCCUUGGAACAGGGCAUCGUAGAGGGUGAAAAUCCCGUACUUGCCAUGGCUGUACCAUGCUUUGUGAUACACGCUCUAAGAGUCGAGUUGUUUGGGAUUGCAGCUCAAAAUGGGUGGUAGACUCCAUCUAAAGCUAAAUAUCGGGGAGAGACCGAUAGCGAACAAGUACCGUGAGGGAAAGAUGAAAAGCACUUUGGAAAGAGAGUUAAAAGUACGUGAAAUUGUCGAAAGGGAAGCGCUUGAAGUCAGCCAUGCUGCUUGAGACUCAGCCUUGCUUUUGCUUGGUGUAUUUCUCGGUAGCAAGCCAGCAUUGGUUCGAGUCGUCGGAGAAGGGUAUGAGAAAUGUGGCAUCCUCGGAUGUGUUAUAGACUUGUACUGGAUACGACGAUUUGGAUCAAGGAACGCAUGUGCCUCUGUCGUGUCUUCGGACACCUUCAACUUA
This 548-nucleotide ribosomal RNA is filed under the name Malassezia pachydermatis. Its description in RNAcentral is "eukaryotic LSU rRNA". It matches the Rfam family "Eukaryotic large subunit ribosomal RNA", at positions 81 to 618 of the family's 3401-position model. Lineage: Eukaryota; Fungi; Basidiomycota; Malasseziomycetes; Malasseziales; Malasseziaceae. The record is from RNAcentral.